AAAUUUUCUAUCUUUCUACAAAUCGUUUACUUCUUGAGCUCAAAUCAUCAACUAGUGAAGUUUUAUUUGAAGUGAAGGAGAGAGCAGUGUUGUCACCAGGUACCCAGGCGAUCGCUUAGGUGCCGGGACAAAAUCCAAGCACCUCGCCUGAGAAGCCUCCGGGCAAGGCGAUCUCAACUAGGCACCACCUAGGCUCCCAGGUGAGGCCUAUGCUGGGCGAGGCGAGGAAAGGCCAAAAAAAUGCAAGAAAUUAAAAAAAGAAAAGUUGAGAGAG
This 274-nucleotide unclassified non-coding RNA is filed under the name Hevea brasiliensis (rubber tree). Lineage: Eukaryota; Viridiplantae; Streptophyta; Magnoliopsida; Malpighiales; Euphorbiaceae. The record is from RNAcentral.